AUCGAACGCUGGCGGCAUGCUUUACACAUGCAAGUCGAACGGUAACAGGUUAAGCUGACGAGUGGCGAACGGGUGAGUAAUGCAUCGGAACGUGCCCGAUCGUGGGGGAUAACGCAGCGAAAGCUGCGCUAAUACCGCAUACGAUCUGAGGAUGAAAGCGGGGGACCGUAAGGCCUCGCGCGAUCGGAGCGGCCGAUGUCAGAUGAGGUAGUUGGUGGGGUAAAGGCCCACCAAGCCGACGAUCUGUAGCUGGUCUGAGAGGACGACCAGCCGCACUGGGACUGAGACACGGCCCAGACUCCUACGGGAGGCAGCAGUGGGGAAUUUUGGACAAUGGGCGAAAGCCUGAUCCAGCAAUGCCGCGUGCAGGAAGAAGGCCUUCGGGUUGUAAACUGCUUUUGUACGGAGCGAAAAGGUCCUUUCUAAUACAAGGGGCUCAUGACGGUACCGUAAGAAUAAGCACCGGCUAACUACGUGCCAGCCGCCGCAGUAA
RNAcentral lists this ribosomal RNA (493 nucleotides) under uncultured bacterium. RNAcentral's name for it is "partial 16S ribosomal RNA". It matches the Rfam family "Bacterial small subunit ribosomal RNA", at positions 29 to 523 of the family's 1533-position model. The record is from RNAcentral.